Long non-coding RNA from Haplochromis burtoni (Burton's mouthbrooder), 312 nucleotides. RefSeq lists it as uncharacterized. The record is from RefSeq and is a predicted model, not a curated record. The transcript has 3 exons. NCBI's taxonomy places the organism in Eukaryota, Metazoa, Chordata, Actinopteri, Cichliformes, Cichlidae.
UUGUAUUGUAUCAGUAAUUAUUGAUUUCUGCUUAUAAAUACAGCUCAGAGUCAUCGGAUUUUCAUCACAUCAAUUCAACAGAAUUGCAAUGAUGAAGCUGCUGUCAGCCUUCAUCCUUCUCCUGCUUCCUCUGCUGACCGGCUGUGAACCUUUCAUCCUUCCACUGGACUGCAGCGAUGUCUAUACCCAAGACACCAGUCGAACCAGUGGCGUGUACACCAUUUAUCCCAUUGGAGCCACGUCUGCUGUCCUGGUAUACUGUGACAUCGACUCACAAGGACAGUGGACGGUGAGUAUCUGAACUCCCAGCUU